CCCUUAGACGUUCUGGGCCGCACGCGCGCUACACUGACCAGUGCAACAAGCAUCCGUCCUUGGCCGACAGGCCCGGGCAAUCUUUGAACGCUGGUCGUGAUGGGGAUAGACUUUUGCAAUUUUUGGUCUUCAACGAGGAAUUCCUAGUAAACGCAAGUCAUCAACUUGCAUUGAUUACGUCCCUGCCCUUUGUACACACCGCCCGUCGCACCUACCGAUUGAAUGGUCCGGUGAGGCCUCCGGAUUGGCGCGCACCUCGGUGCCGCCGAGAAGUUGGCUAAACCUUACCAUUUAGAGGAAGGUGAANUCGUAACA
This 315-nucleotide ribosomal RNA is filed under the name uncultured eukaryote. Its description in RNAcentral is "partial 18S ribosomal RNA". It matches the Rfam family "Eukaryotic small subunit ribosomal RNA", at positions 1470 to 1796 of the family's 1831-position model. The record is from RNAcentral.